GGAAGGGCUGUAGCUCAGUGGUAGAGCUUCUACCUUGUAUGCAGAAGGUCCCAGGUUCAAUCCCUGGCUUCUCCA
Molecule: non-coding RNA, 75 nt
Organism: Rhineura floridana
Lineage: Eukaryota; Metazoa; Chordata; Lepidosauria; Squamata; Rhineuridae
Source: the annotation of a RefSeq genome assembly